Molecule: ribosomal RNA, 420 nt
Filed under: uncultured Paenarthrobacter sp.
Lineage: Bacteria; Bacillati; Actinomycetota; Actinomycetes; Micrococcales; Micrococcaceae
Description: bacterial SSU rRNA
Rfam family: Bacterial small subunit ribosomal RNA
Source: RNAcentral
GGAAUAUUGCACAAUGGGCGCAAGCCUGAUGCAGCGACGCCGCGUGAGGGAUGACGGCCUUCGGGUUGUAAACCUCUUUCAGUAGGGAAGAAGCGAAAGUGACGGUACCUGCAGAAGAAGCGCCGGCUAACUACGUGCCAGCAGCCGCGGUAAUACGUAGGGCGCAAGCGUUAUCCGGAAUUAUUGGGCGUAAAGAGCUCGUAGGCGGUUUGUCGCGUCUGCUGUGAAAGACCGGGGCUCAACUCCGGUUCUGCAGUGGGUACGGGCAGACUAGAGUGCAGUAGGGGAGACUGGAAUUCCUGGUGUAGCGGUGAAAUGCGCAGAUAUCAGGAGGAACACCGAUGGCGAAGGCAGGUCUCUGGGCUGUAACUGACGCUGAGGAGCGAAAGCAUGGGGAGCGAACAGGAUUAGAUACCCCAG